Xenopus tropicalis (tropical clawed frog) is the source of this 1771-nucleotide long non-coding RNA. RefSeq lists it as uncharacterized. The record is from RefSeq and is a predicted model, not a curated record. The transcript has 3 exons. Lineage: Eukaryota; Metazoa; Chordata; Amphibia; Anura; Pipidae.
UCCUUUUAUUCCCUGCCGGUACAGAGGCUUGGGAUCCUGGGCAGGAGUGUAGCGCAGGGGUGACUUUAUUUUAUUAAAAAUACCGUAAACUUAAUGUAUUGAGCCAAUAAACAGGCCUGUAUGCGCAGAGCAGCAACUCAGCCAGUACUAACUUAUUAACUAAGCAGUGGUUAAUUACUAACCUCUGUGUGUUACUUUCACUUCUGGGAUACGAAUCUUAUAAUUAACAUGGUAUAGGAAAAAGAGCAUUACUGGCCAAAGCAAAUGAACAUUAGAACUGGUUGGGGCAAGAGAACAGCCCUGUGUUUAUAAUAAAUACCCCCCUGCACAUAAGACCCAGUGCCAUAAGUGGAUGAACCUGCAGGGUGCUUGGGCAGUUUUCAGUUUAUAUGCCAAUUUUAAGAUUUUUAAGAGAUCUUUUUGUUGGGCCAAGCUUAACCUGAAAUGAUUGUUUAAAAGUAUGGUUUGUACAUGAACAAAAAUGACCAUUUCAAGCGAUAUCAUCUAGUUGCAGCUAGGAAAACUGCCUGCAAACAGUUGGCCAAAGCGCAAAUUGUGAAAUGAAAAAUUGCUAUAUGUGCAAUUGUCCGGUGCCCACUAACCUUACGAUGAUUUGAUGGAUUUGUCGGAUCGCACUUAAAUUGGAGAAAAGAUUCUUAACGUGUAUGGGCAUCUUAAGUACUGUACAAUAGUGCCCUGCUGAGACGCCUGAUUGCCCCCCCAGAGGCAACUUUGUAGCUUCAAAAACAGCUUCGGACUGGGCCGCCGGGGUACCGGGAAAAAACCCGGUGGGCCCCCUUCCCAGACUUGAACCCCCAAGGCGCUCCCACGAUCUGCUGGUCUCCCUUCCCUGAAGUGCCACAGCUGAGACCAACUGCAAUGUAAUUGGAUGUCAGGAUAGCAGUGCACUUUGUUGACUGGGAAAAGAGCAUAUUGAGCAGUUAAGAGUUCACUCCUCAUAACAUUUCCAACGAUUUGAGAUUUCGCUCCUGAGGAAUGGGAAAAGCAAGUACAAUGCCAAGAGGAUGUGACAUGGAGACAAAAACAGAGGGCAAAUGUCUGGCUGAUGAAUUGGAGAUGUGCAAUAAAGCAGGAGGUUGUAAAGCAAAGCUGGAGACAGAAAGAUAAAGAUGAUCCAGGGUGGGGUGGGGGAGAAGCCUAAUGUAUUGCUCCCUACACUUUGCAAUGGGGUUUUUCAUCUCACGCCAUACAAACAACACAUUAGCAGGAACCUUGACAGGGGCAUGUUCUUUAGCAGGAAUGGCCAGCACAUUCCAAGGGGGGGGGGGGUGUUGGGGCUUAGGAAGAUUUAGAUCUCUGCCAUUCUACAAAAUGGUGCAAUGAAAAUGACACCAGAGACUGAAGUUUUGGCACUACUGAAUGCUUUUUAGCACCAUUUGUUCCCUUGUGUUUCCUGCCCAUAAAGCUAAACUAUUUUCUAUGUAGGUAUGAUUAAUUAAAAUGUCAAUAGGAGGUGUACUGUAUAUACAAAAUUUUGUGGACGUGCUAAAAAUCUUUUCAGCUGUUAUAGACCGGUCCCAAUAUGUUGUUUUCCCAUCUCUGCAAAUAUCCCACAAGCCAUUUCAUGUUAUGACAACUUGUUGUUUUAGUCUUUAUGCUCAUUUACACCUAUAGCGUCGGCCACAAGCAUAAUGAAUUUGCUUGUCAUGAGGGACAUAAGGCAGAUUAGGGCAAAGCAAACAAUGUUAUUUUUAUUUUAAUUCAUUACAAGAAAAUGCACACAACCAAAAUAAAGCAGGGAUUUUUUCAA